Molecule: ribosomal RNA, 500 nt
Filed under: uncultured bacterium
Lineage: Bacteria
Description: partial 16S ribosomal RNA
Rfam family: Bacterial small subunit ribosomal RNA
Source: RNAcentral
AUUGAACGCUGGCGGAAUGCUUUACACAUGCAAGUCGAACGGCAGCACGGACUUCGGUCUGGUGGCGAGUGGCGAACGGGUGAGUAAUACAUCGGAACGUGCCCAGUCGUGGGGGAUAACGUAGCGAAAGCUACGCUAAUACCGCAUACGAUCUAAGGAUGAAAGCGGGGGAUCGCAAGACCUCGCGCGAUUGGAGCGGCCGGUGGCGGAUUAGGUGGUUGGUAGGGUAAAGGCCUACCAAGCCGACGAUCUGUAGCUGGUCUGAGAGGAUGAUCAGCCUCGCGGGGACUGCGACAUGGCCCAGACUCCUACGGGAGGCAGCAGUGGGGAAUUUUGGACAAUGGGCGCAAGCCUGAUCCAGCCAUUCCGCGUGCACGAUGAAGGCCUUCGGGUUGUAAACUGCUUUUGUACAGAACGAAAAGGCUCUGGUUAAUACCCGGGGCUCAUGACGGUACUGUAAGAAUAAGCACCGGCUAACUACGUGCCAGCCGCCGCAGUAA